UUUUAUUGUUUGUUUUUUUUUUUUUCAGGUGUUCGAAUGAAACCAUAUUCAAAAAAGAAGAUUUGUUUUGGGCAUAUAAUUUCUGCCCCACCCCAUACUCCUGGACAGCACUUCUGGGCCUUAUUUUAUACUUGGUUUUCUUUGCUCCUGGGAUGGGUCCCAUGCCCUGGACCGUGAAUUCUGAAAUCUAUCCUCUGUGGGCUAGAAGUACAGGAAACGCGUGUUCAUCUGGAGUCAAUUGGGUUUUCAACGUGCUGGUGUCACUGACCUUCCUGCAUACAGCUGAAUAUCUGACCUACUAUGGAGCCUUCUUUCUGUACGCAGGGUUUGCUGGCCUGGGACUCCUUUUCAUCUAUGGCUGCCUUCCUGAGACUAAAGGGAAAAAACUAGAGGAAAUUGAAUCUUUGUUUGAAAGCAGGCUAUGUACAUGUGGUAUGUCAGAUUCUGAUGAAGGGAGGUAUAUUGAGUAUAUUCGGGUGAAGGGAAGUAAUUACCAUCUUUCUGACAAUGAUGCUUCUGAUGUGGAAUAAUUUUCAGCUGCUAAUGUAUUUAAUCAUGUAAAAGCCUUCUGGGGGAAAAGCAGCUCUCUGGUGACCUCACUGCCCUGCUUCUGGUCUGGUUCUCCUUUCUGCUGUCUAGUUAAAAAUGCCUUCAUGUUCAAAAUGGCUCCGUUUGGGAGGAAAUUCAAUAUGCUCAUGUUUUCUUGAUAACUAAAAGCAAUGGCUUCCAAAAGUGAUUGAAUUCCACAAUUAUAUGAAUUAACCAGAUGUUUGCAAUCCUACACCAUGCUGAGGAAUUUUGCAUGAUGUACUGUGCCAGAUGAAUGUAGAAGGCUAUCCUAGGUGGUCAGUGGUUGUCCUUAUCUUCAAUGCUGACAGAAGUUGAAGUAAUGUUGUAGCUAGACAGAAAGCAGCUGACAACAGUCGGAUCCCCAUCUCUUAGCAGUCUAUCAGACAGCACUUGUAUGCCACACAACAAAGGUUGCUGCUGCAAUGGUGGCCAUUUGAAAGGAUUAACUGAUUGUAAAAGCUACAAAUAUCUCCUGUGUCUGUCAGAGGGAACGCUGUCCAAAUUCAUCCCAAUGGAAUUUCAUUUGUGUUCAUUUGAGAUACCUGUAGAGAGCCACGGUCACCUACAUGGUGCCUCAUUAGGGUGGCACGAGUCUGUUGUCCCACGUUGUGUUGUGGUUGCUGCUCUUUAAGGACACACUGCAGACAGCAGUUCGUGUUUGUGAGAUCCACUGCCAAAACAACAUUCUGAGAGCAGGAAACAGAACCCAGGACAUGGCUGCAUGCACCAAUGAGCUGGUGGUGUCCAUUGCUACAGACAACAGAGAGGCUACAGUCAGUUGGAAACUAAUGAUUUUUUUUCUCCUUUUCAGCAUGUGUACAUUUGUGUUUGUGCCUAGUUUUGAACACAAAAUAUCAUGAGCUGGAAGAAAUAAAAGGAAGGGAGAGGUUUUCUGCUGCUAAAUGCACAGUGGUCAUUCCUCCUGUGCCUUUUGCUAAUGAAUAAUCAAAUUGCCUUCAGUUUAUCUUCCUAUUGCAGAGUGAGUGAAUCCUAGCAAAUUUUUCCUUCAAAUGCCUUUAGUCAACCCGUGUCUUUCUGGAUUGAAAGAAAAAUAUUAGUGAUGGGCAGAAGCCUACAUCUCAUAUUAACUGCCUUACUGAAGCAUUGCAAAAUUGUCAAGAAACCGUCAGGCACAAAAAUCAAGUUGGCUGCCUUUAGUGUGGUAAUGAAAAUAUUAAUGGCAUUUUAUUCACCUGCCGUGAUUGCUUGCCUUGGCAAAUUGAAUUUUAGGCAGCUACAUAAAAGUGUAAUGUUAUUUUUUUUUCCUUGCCCUGUUUCCUUCCACGGCUUUAAUUCUUCAGAGGUAUGAGUUUGAAAGCAUAAAAAAUUCAAAUUCUUAUCUCUGAAACCUUUGCUUCAUGAAUGUGGAAAACCUCCUCUGCCUGUAGGCUGCUUCCCAUUUGCUUGGUAAAAAUACAUUUAUUUUUCAUUGUGUAAGGAUUAAAGAAGUUGUUGGAUUCACUACCUUUUAUCGAUACACUUUGUGGGCUCUUUUUGGAUUGAAAAAUAUUUUGAGUGUGAGAGAAAUGUCAAAAUGAUAGUGGACAUUUAUUACUAAAUUAUUUUUAUUGGAUAAUAUGUGGAGUUUUCGUUGUAAUCAUGAAGUAUGAUGCUAUGCUGUCUGAUCUUAUACAGGAGAGGUUUCUUACUCUCUAAUUAUUGAAAUUCAGUGAUAGGAUGUAUUUUAGGUUAUUUUCUUUUUCACUUCAUAAAUCAAAGAAAUAUUUUUGGAAAGAAAAUAUUUUAGAGCAUCCUUCUGUAACUUGACUGGGAAUAAAAGGGAAAAGCAUAGCAAACAGAGGGAGCGGUGAGUUACUGCAAAGAGCAGACUGACCUCGAACCUCUGACGGGCAGCGACAGGGCUGCAUCCCAAUCCUCCACCCUCCUUCCUUCUGUGUAAGCACACAAUAUUCCCAGGCUUGUAAGCACCGGCAGCUGGAAAGGACCGGCUCUCCGGCCCCUUAUCUGAAUGCAUCAGUUUCAGACCAUCCGUUGGGCUGCUGCCGCUUCAAAGCCUCGCCAAAGGUGCAGUACCUGAAAUGAGAGAAAGGGACACUUCUCACAGAUGAAGUUCAGGGUGAAUUGGUUUCCUCUGAGGGGUAUUUCCUGGAUUUUCAGGACGAGGACUAAUGGCUCUGAUCCCCAGAAGCGUGAGCCCAAGGUCCCUUGAUGGAAGCGGUUUGUGCUCCCAGUUCCAGCACUUACCUCCAUGUCCACAGGUAGAGGAAACAGCAGCACUUUGGUGGCAUAACCAAAGUGAAGUCCCUAUGAAAACUGCCGUCACAAGAUCAGCCUCUUUUUUUUCUUGCAGGCAGUGCUGGGACUUUUUAGCAGCAGAAGACAAUCUCUCUUUGCCAGCGUUGUUUCAUGGACGUUCUCAGAAGUGGCAUUCAGUUGUGUGCAGCACUAGGUUAUUUCCCACACUACAAUUCAGUCUCUCUUAGAACAGUUUUCUGAAGUUCUACAUCCUGGGCCCUUUUUUUGAGGCAAAGUGAUUGAAUCACAAGCAUCUUGUUUAUUGUCACUACUUCUUAUGAGGAUGCAAAAUAUACUGGCUUCUUUGCUUUUCCUUUUUCUUUGCUUUCCCUUUUCUACCCACAGAGUUGGGUUUUAGUCUUCCUCUUAGGGUUGCUUUACACAAAAGAAACAUUCCACACCUUAUAAACCCCAGACCUACUACCAAGCAUCAUGUAUCUUAAAAGUGAGAUCAAAUACUUGAAAUUAAUCUUACACAAUUAGGGUUUUAUUUUUAGAAUCUGUGAACAUUUAUAAUGUAUGAAGAUGAUUAAACAAAUGUUUCUAUUUUGCAAAGAUUUUUAUAUUUGUGCAUACUUUAAGUUUUAAGAAUUUUUGCUGAGGGUAGUGCUAGUGACAUUCCAGACAGAAGAAUACAAAUACAAUUGCAGUUGAGUCAUUUCUUAUGACAGAACGUUAAUUUAUGAAGUAGCAAAGUAGUACACCUAAGCACAAUGUCAUUCUACAGACAGCUUUCUGCAGGAGGUGGGUAAGAGUUCCUUUGCAGGGACUGCACCUUCAUUCAGGUAUUCUGUGCAUGAGGAGCAUUGCUGGUAGAGCUGUGCGUGGCUCACACACUGAUCACACACAACAGUUUGAAAUAUUUCAGCAGCUCAGAUUCUUUACGGGUAUGGGCCUACGAGCAAGAAUAAAAGGAACAAUUCCUGAUGAGUUUUUAACCUUUCAUAUUUUAAUUCACCUUAAUUCACCUAUGGAGGUUUAUUAACCAUACUCAAAUUCUUACAGUGUUGUUGGGGGUGAAAUAAUUUGCAACUUGUUUCUUCCCACUGUCACUUUGUUGCUCAAAAUCAUUUUCUAAAGGGAGGAACAAACUUGGUUUUAAAAGAAAACCAAACCAACAAAAGCCAAGCAAGCCCCUGGGACUCCUUUGAGGGCUGAAGCUGCAUUGUAUGCGUGCGCCUUAGGUUGCUGCCAUAGACAUUGACAACCAGCGAGUCUCAGUGCCUGCCCUGUCAGACAGUGUGGGGUAAGAAACGAAAGAUGUGUCACGUUUCAGUAGGGAUAGGAUUGGAGCUGACAGGAGCUGUUGGCUUCUCUCCUGUGGGGCAGAAGGACAGGGGACCAGGGAGGUUCCCGGUGCAGGUGGCGUCCUGCAGAAGGCAGUGGGACGGGCAGGCUAAGGGCAGGGGCUGUGUUUCCCCUCAUCAUGGGGGUGAGGACAAGGCAAUAGAGAUAGCAAAGCGAAUGCUUUCUUCCUUUGUGAAGUCUCUGUUUGUCCUCAGCUGGAAAUAGGAGGAAGUUUUGACUGAAGCUCGCUGCGGGGCUCCUGGCCCUGGGCGAGGCCUGUCCUUUGGGCACUCCUUGCAAACACACUGUGGGUCGGUCAGCGCAGGCCCCGUGCUUCUCAGCCUCACACCCGCCCUCCACUGCUCAGUGUAGUGCUGCUCCAACACAGACAUCUUGAAGUUCUCCUUGCGAUUGCCUUAGAGGCUCUGCAGGCCAAACUCAGCGGGGACGGGUCAGAGCCUUCAUUGCACAGAGUAGGAGCUAAGUCAGAGUAGCAAGUCCUGCAAAGCACUUUAACGAGUCAGAUAUCUGUGCACUCUUUUCUGAGAGAGCCAAGCCAACCGAACCCCAUUCCUCAUUGGGAAGAAAACAGAGCUUUGUGUACCAGGCCAGAAGCAGAUAAUGCCACAGUAUGUGCUUUAUGGCAAAAUGUGUUUUUAUUGCAGGUAAUAUUUACAGCUUACAUGUAGCUGCUGCCUAUCAAGUGACACAAUUGUUCUCUGGAUUUUAACGAGUCACAUUUUUGUGCAAAACUCUUGGUGGUUUUCUAUCAAUCUCCAUCGCCUUGUGUACAGUACAGUAAGCGUAGUCCACAAAGUGGUCUAGGUUGUGGCAGUGUUAAAAACGUCAGCACAGUAAAACCUAGGUGAACAUUGUUAAAGAAUAAUGUUGUUAGUGAUAUCAGGGGUUAAAACUCCUUAAAGGCAACUAUAUUAUAGAUUUUAAAAGUCUGAAAAAAAAAAAAAAGGCAAUUCUUAUCUAUUUUGUGUAUGUUUUCAUAUAGAGAGUUUUUUAUGUGCCGAUAACCAUCACUGUAGUGUUUUGUAAAUGGGUGUUAAUGGUGUUCCAGAGUUGUGUAUAUGAGCAUUCCCUUUAGCCAGGCUGAGCUGUCAGUGUGACCCAGCAGCAUGUUUCAGACCUCUCGGCGCCUCUCCUUGAGGCUCACUGUCAGCUUCACUACAGCACACUGGGAGCUGGACCAGAACCCGGCCUCGGGAACCUACAGUUCACCUCAAGCCCCACUUCUUCGCGUUUUUCCUACACGGUGUGUUACAGCUGAAUGACUUGGUGUGUGUAAUGAUAAAGCUUCAAGUGUGCUUCAGUUGCACUCCGAUCUUUCAAAAUUCAGUUUGACAUUUCAUUGUAUUUGCACAAGUAAGGGGAGCGCUGAUUAAUUAUGAAUAACGUCCCUGUAUUUCUAAAGGAAACAUCCGUUCAGGAAGUGUCAAAAUAAAGGCAAAUUUCUCUCACUGCCUUAAACAUUACACAGACUUUGGAGAGGACUGAAUGUAGGACUGUCGUCGUGGCUUCUGCAGGAGAAACUUCAGCUGGUGGGCUGGGUGCUGGGGGGAAGCCCAAGGGUUCCAUGGUGCUGGGCUGCCAGCCCCAGCUCGUGCCCCACCCUGGCUGGUGCCAGCCCGCUGUCUGAGCGCUGUUGGGCAUCUGAGUGGUGCCCAUGAAAGUGAUGGGAUGAUUGUUCGCGACCUUCUUCAUGUGCUCCAGUGUCCUGCUGGUCCGGGGCAUAGCGGGAAUUGGCACAAGUCUUGUGUCUGCCUUUCAUCUGGAAUCUCACAACCCUACAAAAGCAUCGCCCGGGUCUUUCUGCCACGAAUUCUCUUUAGGGUAUUUGAGACUUUAUUGGAGACCAAAUUGGUAGAAAUAACUGCUUUAGCUUUCCAUAAUAACAUGCAUAUGGUGCCAUCAGGAUGCAUGGUGUGGUAUUUGGUACAAAACAGGUUUGGGCAAAACUCACUGUCAGGUCAUCCAAGUUAUUUUGUUAUCCGAACAAUGUCGAACAUGCGCCAUUUCCUUUUGCAGCCAGUCAAGCCUAUAAUGUAUGAAAGUGUUGUACAUUUUCUGAAACUUCGGUGAUGUAUAAUUAUUUAAUUGACUUCUGUUCUGAUUGCUUUAAUGACGUUUGGUCUUUACAUAAAAGUAAAUAUCUUCAAAGAAUUGUCAGUGCCAGAAGUGUAAAUGAACAAAAUAAAAGGUGAUACUUAA
Meleagris gallopavo (turkey) is the source of this 6333-nucleotide non-coding RNA. Lineage: Eukaryota; Metazoa; Chordata; Aves; Galliformes; Phasianidae. The record is from RefSeq and is a predicted model, not a curated record.